RNAcentral lists this ribosomal RNA (730 nucleotides) under uncultured bacterium. RNAcentral's name for it is "bacterial SSU rRNA". It matches the Rfam family "Bacterial small subunit ribosomal RNA", at positions 771 to 1501 of the family's 1533-position model. The record is from RNAcentral.
AACAGGAUUAGAUACCCUGGUAGUCCACGCCGUAAACGAUGUCGACUUGGAGGUUGUGCCCUUGAGGCGUGGCUUCCGGAGCUAACGCGUUAAGUCGACCGCCUGGGGAGUACGGCCGCAAGGUUAAAACUCAAAUGAAUUGACGGGGGCCCGCACAAGCGGUGGAGCAUGUGGUUUAAUUCGAUGCAACGCGAAGAACCUUACCUACUCUUGACAUCCAGAGAACUUAGCAGAGAUGCUUUGGUGCCUUCGGGAACCCUGAGACAGGUGCUGCAUGGCUGUCGUCAGCUCGUGUUGUGAAAUGUUGGGUUAAGUCCCGCAACGAGCGUAACCCUUAUCCUUUGUUGCCAGCGGUCCGGCCGGGAACUCAAAGGAGACUGCCAGUGAUAAACUGGAGGAAGGUGGGGAUGACGUCAAGUCAUCAUGGCCCUUACGAGUAGGGCUACACACGUGCUACAAUGGCGCAUACAAAGAGAAGCGACCUCGCGAGAGCAAGCGGACCUCAUAAAGUGCGUCGUAGUCCGGAUUGGAGUCUGCAACUCGACUCCAUGAAGUCGGAAUCGCUAGUAAUCGUGGAUCAGAAUGCCACGGUGAAUACGUUCCCGGGCCUUGUACACACCGCCCGUCACACCAAGGGAGUGGGUUGCAAAAGAAGUAGGUAGCUUAACCUUCGGGAGGGCGCUUACCACUUUGUGAUUCAUGACUGGGGUGAAGUCGUAACAAGGUAACC